RNAcentral lists this long non-coding RNA (344 nucleotides) under Crocodylus porosus (Australian saltwater crocodile). RNAcentral's name for it is "lncRNA (ENSCPRG00005013589.1)". The record is from RNAcentral. Lineage: Eukaryota; Metazoa; Chordata; Crocodylia; Crocodylidae.
AAUGAGGCAGACAAAGUCUUGUGUCAUUGCUGCUUAGUAAGCAGCAUCACUGAGUCUCAUUCACUUGAUAAUUGCUGUUCUCCGGAAGAUCACAGCUGUCGGCGGGGGCUGUAGGAUCCUUGGUUUCUUUGAAGUCGUUAGCAGUCAGCUAUAGGACUGCUCCUGGAAUGCCCUGCUGGUCAUCACAGGACCUAAAAGUAAAUGGUCUCAAUAUCCCAUUGUGUGGAUAAGAAAUUUGAGGCAGAGAGAGAGAAGUAGAGUGUGACUCCGUGCCCCAUAGCGUGAGAUGUGCUUUGUAUUGUGCCGUGAUGCCGUUAGGAUGUCCGAACGUUGCAGUGCUCCUC